CGAGGGGCGGCGCGGGGCUCCUCUCGCGCCUCGGGCUCGCGGCUUUUGCCGCUUUCAGCAGAAAUCCGCCGCUCUUGAGCGGCUGCGGGGCGGGCGGCCGCCGCGCCACUCCCCGCCGCUGGGCGUGCGGCGUGAGGGGGAGGCCGGGGCGGCUGGGCAGGGAGAGGGCCGCUUUCGUGCGAGCGGUGAGGCUGUUCGUAAGGGGACGGAGCGUAACGCUCACCGAGCGAGGGAAGCGUGCUGCCGGGGGGGCGUCUUAGGCGGCGGUCGCUUUGCGCCUUCCCCGCUCCUCGUGACUGAGGUAUCUGCGCGCUGCCGGCUUCGAGCGCCCGCCGGGCGGCUGCGGGGCCUCAGCUGGCACAGACUGGUGCGGGGCCCUGACACACCUCGUCCUACGUGUCCGGCCCUGACUGAUGGGAGGACGCGAGGCGGCAAAACUCAUCAGUGUUAAUUAAUUCCUGGUAUGUUGUCUUUCUUGGUGAUGAAGACAAAUUGCCUUUUCCAAGACUGAGUCCGUCCGUGUUAACAAUUACAGAAGCCCCGCUUGAAGAACGCUGCUGAGAAUAAAGCUGUUAUCCCAGCCCGGGGCUGCGCUGAGGCCCGUGUUUUCCGAGCUGCUGAUGGGCGGCACUGCCGGUGUUUUAAAAAACAGUAAGCACUGCACCCUCAUUCCCAGCCAAAACGGGGAGGAAAAGUGGGAAGUGAAGCUGCUCCACAGCAACAGGGACAGACUGGGCAGAGGGCGUUUCUUCAAGUAAAGGGUCUUCCCUAUCCGUAAACACGUGUGUGGGUGCGGGCUUUGACCCCCGGCUUCAUGCUCCUUCCCACCAAAGAGCUCAGCACGGGCUGGGGCCGGCUCAGAAGGAUGCCCGUUUCUCACACUGCACCUCGGGAGCUGUUGGUUGUCUCGAGCGGGGCUAUCUCCAGCGCUUCCAUCCUCGCAGAAGAGCUGGAUGUGAAUAAUAAAUUGCUCUUUCUCAUAAAUACACCCACAAAGGUGGCAAUGCGCAUGUUGGCAGGGAGAGGAGAGGGAAGGUUAGCGCAGUGAGUGCUGCUGAAGGUCCUCCGGGCAGUCGUUACCGAUUCCAGGCAUGCCUCAAGCUGGCACAGCGAUGCCUUUCUGGGACACCUUGAAGAACAGAGGACUCAUCUAAGGUGGUCAUAUCUGGAUGCACUGACCUUACUCCUGGCAGAUAGCCACUCUCCUUACUCUGGCUCAACCAUGCUGCCCAUCAGAGAGCAAUGCAAUCUCACGUGGAGGAGAAGCACUACCAUCACACAGCUGGGCUUAAGGGCACUGAGGUCUGCACAUAGAGGUAAAGGGUGCAGGUUUGGACCUGCAGAAAGUGCAAGGGAGAACAUUUCAGCCCUAGCACAGAUUUGUCCUGAAAUAGGUAAAGACAAUAGCCUGGCUGGUGGAAGGAUUUUUUAGGCCAGCCCCAAACUUAUCAUUGCUGCACUUGCUGAAAUGUUGGGAAGAUGCAGGGGGUGGUAUGCCUGACCAUAUCAUAGCAGUUAUGGGUCUUGGCAUCUGGGAAGAGGGAAAGGCUUCUAUUUUUGGCAUUACAGGGCCGUGGGAGUGGUUAGUCCUUAUGAAAGGAAAGAAAACGUUUCCUUGUUCCUUCUGCUCCUUUGAAGAAAGAGUAGAGGUGAUUUCGCUGUUUUCUGGAAAGAGUUUGAAUUUCUCAUUGCCUGCCACAGGAUCCUUGGCAACAAUCUUUUCUGCCCUCUCUGAGCUGGGAGUGUAGAAUUGCCCCCUGCACUUAGCUGGGUUUCUGCAAUACUCCAGUGUACACAGAUUCACAAUUUUGGUUGGUCUGAUUGAUUUCCCUCGUCGUAUUUCCAGCCCUGCUGACCCCAGGAGUGAUAGUGAGCGUGUGCAUAAUGGGUACCCAGCAGGGAAGGCUGAGUUGCUGGGAACUCUGUGGUGUUGUUUGCUUCAUUGCUUUAAACUGGACAGUGACAAAGUGCCAUAAAGCCAUAGGGUUGUAUAUCAAUGUAUGGUUUAAACAUUUCACUGAAUUUAUUCCCUUUGGUACCAAUGAAACAGUUACACUUAGAUCCCCUGUAUGCAGCUCAGGAUACAGUUUUAAACCCCAUGGUCUUCAUAGGUGGCAAAAGUACUGAAGCUCUUUCUCCAGCAGGGGCAAGUCGUUCUAGGUGUGUAAGCUAUGAGUUGUUUCUGCUGUCACAUCUGUGUAUUGUCCUGUCAUCUGUGUUUCUUCCUUUCCCCCAUUGGAGUUUUAGGGUUAACGCAGCUUUCCUGCACUUACAGCUUGCAACAAGGCUGUUAAAAAGCAUUGGUCCUUCAGCCAAUGUCCAUCCUGAGGAGGAAGAGGCUGGGCCCGUACGCAGGUAGUACUGAGGCUGUUAGUGGUUGUGAAGCCACUUGUGUAAAGUGAAGAGGAGGACUGGCACUGAGAAGCCUGCUGAGUUUGCAGCUGUAGCCUCUCCAGGAGUGGGUGCAGAAAGCUAUUGCCAAGCAAGCAGG
Molecule: long non-coding RNA, 2491 nt
Filed under: Gallus gallus (chicken)
Lineage: Eukaryota; Metazoa; Chordata; Aves; Galliformes; Phasianidae
Source: RNAcentral